This 467-nucleotide long non-coding RNA is filed under the name Selaginella moellendorffii. Its description in RNAcentral is "long non-coding RNA (SMOE_LNC000731)". Lineage: Eukaryota; Viridiplantae; Streptophyta; Lycopodiopsida; Selaginellales; Selaginellaceae. The record is from RNAcentral.
UUUUUCGCGUUUGUUAAGAGAUCAUGAAUUUGUGGCCUCCGCGUGUGCUUUGCGUGACCCUGUACCACAGCACACCAAACCCCGGCCUGGAAAAUUUCCACCCUUGGCUCAAAAAUGUUGGAAUCCCUGGCACUCUGGAACAAGAAAAGCUUCUCCGACCAAGAAUGUAUUAAAGAGCUCCAUACCUUUCUUCGCUCUCGCUCGCGCUUCUCAUUCGUUGUCUCUGUCUCCCUCGCGAGCAACGAUGAGCUCUUCUUAAGCGCGCCAUCGCUUGGCUCUCCGGCAAAUCUCCCUGGAGGACGGAUCAUCAAGAACAGAGAAAGGAAAAGAGAAGGAAGUUAAAGAAAAUGUGCGUACCGCUUGCUUGCUUGCUUUGCUUUGCUUUGCUUGUUCAUAUAAAUCUUUCCUCGACUUGUUUCGAAAGACGCCUUCGCUGACUUUAGACGUUGGAAACUCCCGGAUCAGGC